Hylaeus volcanicus is the source of this 1426-nucleotide long non-coding RNA. RefSeq lists it as uncharacterized. Lineage: Eukaryota; Metazoa; Arthropoda; Insecta; Hymenoptera; Colletidae. The transcript has 3 exons. The record is from RefSeq and is a predicted model, not a curated record.
CCUCUUCCAUCAUGCAUCAGUUGAUAAAGCUCAGUCGUUCAAAAGAGUGUAUACAACCAUCGCGAUAAAUAAGGAUCGAUAAAUAUCUAAAACUAAUAAUCCAAGAUAAGGGUCCAAGAAAGAGAUGGGCAAGAUACUUAUCUGGAUAAAAACUUCAAAUAAUGAAUAAAAGGUAGGAAGAGCUCGGAGCGCUUUGAGGCAGGGCCAAAAACGCAGGUGUUGGCCAUUGUUACCUUGCCAAUUUCCCGCUGCUUAAGCCGUUGGCCAAAAACGGAACCCUUCAUUUUCGAGGGUGUGCGAAACAAGGUAUCACGCGAAAGUCACAGUAACCCUCAACAACCCUCUACAGCCUCAACAGUUGACGGAAGAACGUCCUGGCGACGGAAAACGGUAAAUAGUUGAGCAUUGUCGCGAAUAAAGAAGGCGACAAAGGUCGUUUCGUGCAAUUCAUCGUCUCUCUGACAAUGAGUCAUAACGAAGAUCUGCCAGUGACACGGUCAUCAAACAUGCACUGGCGGCGAGUAAAGUCAAUAUUGAUGCGCUUGUAAAACUACCGAUAGUCAGUUUAGAUUAAGAUAAAGAGGGCUCUGUGAAUCACGUGAGCGUUCCAACUCGUGUUUAGGUUCACGUGUUUGAGCCUGCUUCAACUCGCUUGGUGAACUGAUUUUAACAAUAAAGAGUAAUUCACUCCUGACGUUUAAAAACUGUUUUUUUUUCAUUUGCAUUAAUUUGAACAUACAUAUUCAAAAUGCAUUUCGAGUUUAUUGAAUUGAAAUUGGCUAAAUUUAGCAAAGUUAUGAGACUUCAAAGGUAACAAGGAGGACGCAAAUUUAUUUUUUCAGUAUUCGCAUUUGAAUUUAUAACUAUAACGUUGUUUUUCUAAAAAUUACUUUUUCGUAGUAGGUAUCGCUAAAAAGAUCAAUGGUAAUGAAUAAAGAAUCCAAAAUAAUUUACAGUCUGCGAUAUAACUAUAAUGGCCAUAGUAUCGUUCAUUUAGUUUAUAGCAUUGAAAGAAAAAGUUUAAAUACUAUCUUUAAUGAUUUUAAAGCUGUAACAUUUCAUGACCAAUAUAAGAAAAUACAACCAAAAACAAAACCUGUAAAUUACAUUUCUGUCUGUUACUACCCCAAAAGUAAAAAUAGUAUGUCGAAAUUUAUUGUUUGAACGAAAUUGUUUCCUAAAGAGGAUACUACAUUAGAAUAGUUGUUUUUAUUCUUGUGUGCUUUAUUAUAUGCGAAAUAUCAACAAGAAUAAAGUAGCCGAGACUGCCCGUUCUCCUAAUAUGUUUCGCAUAAUACCUUUUUUAGAAACAAAUCACAUGUACAGUGUUGGACGCGUAAAAUUCUAAUUUCAUAGAUGCAUUAUUUUUUCAAAGAAAAAUAGUAUUCCUUGGAAGAAAUAAUAUUAUGUCUCUGGUAUUUGUUUC